Long non-coding RNA from Helianthus annuus (common sunflower), 597 nucleotides. RefSeq lists it as uncharacterized. Lineage: Eukaryota; Viridiplantae; Streptophyta; Magnoliopsida; Asterales; Asteraceae. The record is from RefSeq and is a predicted model, not a curated record. The transcript is spliced from 3 exons.
GUCGGGCAGAUGUGGGCUUAUCUCUUCUCCCCUCUUCAAAACACUUCUCCCCAUCAAAACACCUCCAAACCCUAGAUUUCUCCCACAGCCCGCACCUGGCUCCUCCCCCACCAUCUGAACCGCCGCCCUGCUCCUCCCCCACUAUCUCAACCGCCGACUGCUCCUUCUCCUCCGCCGCCGCCGAGACCUGCUCCUUCUCCUCCGCCGCCAAGCACAUAGUUAUUGACAGGAAAUCCCAAACAAUGCAUUGAACUUCUACGUAUGUCUCGUGAAUCAUUUUUCCGACUAUGUGCACAUUUUAGAGUAAAUUAUUCGUUAGAGGAUAGUAAACAUGUAUCGGUUGAGGAGAAGAUGGCUAUGUUUUUUAUGAUAAUCGGUCAUAAUCAACGAUAUGUAGUUAUCAAGCGAAGAUUUCAACACUCAAAGCAAACAAUUCAUAAAUAUUUUUAUGAAGUCUUGGAUAAAAUGAUGCUUUUUGCCAAAGAAAUGAUAGUACCAACUUCUUUCAAUCCUAAUCCAAACAUACCGGGACAUAACAAGAGACUACGGCGGGUUUUUAAAGGAGCGGUUGGUGCACUAGAUGGAACUUUAAUACAU